Non-coding RNA from Saimiri boliviensis boliviensis (Bolivian squirrel monkey), 2141 nucleotides. The record is from RefSeq and is a predicted model, not a curated record. NCBI's taxonomy places the organism in Eukaryota, Metazoa, Chordata, Mammalia, Primates, Cebidae.
AUUUUGUUCACUGGAUUAACUGGUUGAUCUCAUGCUGGUUCUGGUUGGGAUUCCUCCUCAUGCCAGCCUGCCUUGAUUUCCCCGUUCCUCCUUGAACUCUCUGUUUCAUCACACAGAGGCAUCUUAAAUGCCUUGUUCGUUCAUUUACUUGUUUAUUUUCAUCUUCCUCCCACCCCCCCACCCUGAAUUCAAGUUCUUCAAAACAGAAACCAGGACCGUUACAGUAUUUCACAAAAUGGAAAUGCAGGCCCUCUUGCUCAAAAAUUGUUAUGAAUUUCACGAUGGUGACAUUAGAGCAGUAAACCAGGGAGAGGCCCUUCUAAGUGUGGGAUUCUGAUUGAGGACAAAUGUAGCACAGAUUGGUUACCUCCUGGAAAGGACUUGUGCAGACCCAGCUAGGGUACCGCCGUGCCCAGAACAGUGCCUAGCAGACAGCGAAUGCUCGAUACACACCGAAGAAUGGACGAUGCAGCCUCUGCCACCCCGCAGGGUGGCAACCUUCUUUUCACCGUUACCAGGAGAGACCAGGCAUCUCUUGGUGUGACGCAGGCUAUAUUCUACUAAGCAUUAAUUGAUCAAUCGAGUGAACGAAUGAACAAAGGAAAUAUUUGAAGCAUGAUGAGGGCUUAGAGAAGGGAGAGAUUACUUUGCUUGAACUAGAUGAGACAGGGCUUCAGGGACAAAGGGUAGCUCUAUUUUUAACAAUUCGUAGAUUUAAAUAGGGGAGAAGUGGGCAUUGCAGCCAGAGGCAGCGAGUGUGGAGCUGCAUCGCCCCACCUGUGUUCCAGGAAUGUGGGGUGCAUACAGGAAUGCAGUGGGAAAUGCUCUGGUGUUGGAGGCUGCCCUAUUUUCCUCUCCAGCUUGAGUUGAGACUUCCCUUGGAGAUCUUCCUCACAGCAGUGGAACAGCCAGGUGCAUUCCAGAAUGCUAAGAACCAGAGGAGAAGGGCAUGCUUCUGACCAUGGAUUUUUACUUUUGAAAACUGAAGGAUCUAAGAUUUCUCCUCUGGUUCAGGAAGUGAGAGCAGAAUCAGACAGAAAAGAUGAACGCAGUGAGAAAGGAUACAUUGGAAGAAGUGAACUCAAGAUCCACCUUGGUCUUCAAAUGGCCAGUGGAUUACACCAACGCCCUUGCUACAACUCUCCUUCGGUGUUUUGAGAUGUCACCUUGAGAAUCUACUGAAGGCCCGCCUGUAGGUGGAACUGUCUCAGGACUUGUACUCAAGUCUGCUCAAAAACGGAGUCUUCAUGUGACUAGCUGACCUGUGACUACUGACCAGUGAUGUCACGGAAAGAGAGGGAGUCCCGUCUCCUGGCUGAACUUGACCCUGUCUGGGCGGACUAUGAAUGGCCGUAACUAAAGGCUGAACACUCACUGGAGCAGGGCAUGGGACGUGGGAAAUUCACAUCCCCUCUGGUUCUCAUUUUCAAGUGCACGCAAGUGGGGAAAACUAAGCCACUGGUUUUCAGACUGAAAUGCAUGGACGUUCAGUGGUUCCUGAGAACCGCUACAGGUAAAGGCAAUCCAGCUGUGUGCAAGUGUCUGACUCCAGAACUGCCCCAUCUCUGACUUUGGGCUUUGAGGAGAUGGGUUAAGGGCAAACCUCGGGGAAUCCCACCUGGCACAGAGUAGAGAAAGCAUCUGGAACUUGUUAUGCAGGAGUUGGCACGAGCUGGGCAUCUCUCCAAGCUCAGGAGGUUUCACGGAAAUUCCUAGAUGAGAGAUGUUUACAAGUUGUGUCCCCAGAUAAACCAUCAUGUUUUCCCCUAAGAGGUCUCUCAAGGUCUCCAUCGAAGCCAGUAUGCUGGGUCAUAACAGCUGUAAGCAGAGAUGCUUCUGACCUCACUGAUGAGAAGAGCGCCGACUGCCUAGCUUGUGUCAUUAGGGGACUUUUAAUGACGAUAAACGUGUCUUCCUGCAUUCUCCUUCAGCCUUGUCUACAAAACCAUUUUCCUUCAGAUUCUAAGGACUGGCCAAGGCACUUUUCCUAUCCACAGUUGAUCUAAUAAUCUUCUCUUUUUUUUUUUUUUUUUUUUUUUUUUUUGUGGUAGCUUGCUGAAGUCAAAGAGGCUCUGACCAACAGGAAAUACUUGAUCACUCCACUAAGAAAAUGUCAGAGAAAGAGGAAAUACCCACACAGA